CAAAAACAUAGCCCUAGAUAAUUUCUGAGGUGUAACCUGCCCAGUGAUCUUAAAUUAUUAGUAUAAAAGACUAAAAAUAGGAUUAAAAGGACGCGGUAACCUUGACCGUGAUAAUGUAGCAUAAUCACUCGCCAUUUAAUUGGUGGAUAGUAUGAAUGGUUGAACGAAUAUUCCACUGUCUUAAAGAGAAUUAAAAGAAAUUGAAAUAAUAGUUAAGAUGCUAUUUAAAACUGUAAGACGAAAAGACCCUAUAGAGCUUAACUAUAAUCUCUUUACAAAACAGAAAAAAUAAGUUUAAAAAAUAAAGAGACUGGUAGUUUAGUUGGGGCGACUGUCUUCUAAAUAAAACGAAGACAAGCAAUGUUAAUAAAUAACUUAUUGUAUAAUAUAAUAAUUUAACAAUUAUAAUCAUAGGCUAUAGUGACCCGUUGAUUCUGAAGAAAUAGAUUAACGAUCAAUUGAUAAAAGCUACCUUAGGGAUAACAGGAUAAUUUCAUUUUAGAGUCCCCAUCGAAAAUGAAGUUUGUCACCUCGAUGUUGAA
Molecule: ribosomal RNA, 542 nt
Filed under: Eirene menoni
Lineage: Eukaryota; Metazoa; Cnidaria; Hydrozoa; Leptothecata; Eirenidae
Description: partial 16S ribosomal RNA
Rfam family: Bacterial large subunit ribosomal RNA
Source: RNAcentral